This 73-nucleotide transfer RNA is filed under the name Treponema sp. RNAcentral's name for it is "tRNA-Arg". It matches the Rfam family "tRNA". From Rfam's summary of the family: Transfer RNA (tRNA) molecules are approximately 80 nucleotides in length. Their secondary structure includes four short double-helical elements and three loops (D, anti-codon, and T loops). Further hydrogen bonds mediate the characteristic L-shaped molecular structure. tRNAs have two regions of fundamental functional importance: the anti-codon, which is responsible for specific mRNA codon recognition, and the 3' end, to which the tRNAs corresponding amino acid is attached (by aminoacyl-tRNA synthetases). tRNAs cope with the degeneracy of the genetic code in two manners: having more than one tRNA (with a specific anti-codon) for a particular amino acid; and 'wobble' base-pairing, i.e. permitting non-standard base-pairing at the 3rd anti-codon position. The record is from RNAcentral. Lineage: Bacteria; Pseudomonadati; Spirochaetota; Spirochaetia; Treponematales; Treponemataceae.
GGUCCAGUAGCUCAGGGGAUAGAGCGGCCGCCUCCUAAGCGGCAGGCCAGCAGUUCGAUUCUGCUCUGGAUCA